AUAGAGCAGACCUGGGCAUUUUACGGCCCGCGGGCCGGAUGCGGCCCUUUGGUUGACUCUGACCGGCCCGCGUAAGGUUCAUAAGAAAUUACAAAAUAAACUUUUUUUUUUUUUUUUCGUAUUUUCUUAUUACCUCAUACGUGGAUUAAAUGUGCAUGGCUUUUAUUUUGAAGUUAUACACCCUGUGUUUUUUACGUAGUGCAUAGGGACGUAAGGUACGUACGUGAUGCGUGUUACCACAGAGCUGAAAAAACUGCUAAAAAAACUUUUCGGCUCUGUGCGUGUUACUGAAUGGACGUUAGCUGUCUCGACGACUUUCACCCCCAAAAUGUCAACUAAAGAAAGGAUUUUUACAAAGCUUCACACAUCCAGGGAUGCAGCAACCAGGACCAGCUUUGUAAUUUCCCACAAAAUCGCUAAAAACAGUAAGCCAUUCUCAGAGGGCGAGUUCGUAAAAGAGUGCUUGGUGGACUCUGCAGCCCUACUAUGUCCUGAAAAAAAGAAGCUUUUGAGCACGUCCCGCUGUCCAGGCGCACCGUGACAAGAAGGAUCGAGGACAUUGCGGUAAAUUUGGAACUUCAGCUGCAACGUGAUGUGGCAAAUUUUGACUUUUCUCUUUGGCUUUGGACGAGAGCUGUGAUGUCCGUGACACAGCCCAGCUACUUGUAUUUGUCCGUGGGAUAACGGACUUCAAGAUUACAGAGGAGCUGGCAGCAAUGCGCUCAAUGAAAGGGACAACGACGGGGAGCGAUUUGUUCACGGAGGUAAAUGCAUGCAUGGACACGCUGGGACUGAAAUGGGACAGACUGACGGGUGUUACAACGGACGGUUGUCCAAAUUUAACAGGGAAAAAUGUCAGGCUGUUGAAACGUUUGCAAGAUAAAGUGACUGAAAACAACGCAGAUCAGAAAGUAGUAUUUUUGCAUUGUAUUUUACAUCAGCAUGUGUUGUGCAAGUCAGUGCUUAAAAUUGACAAUGUGAUUGAUGUUGUAACUAAAAUAGUUAACUUUAUUAGGGCACGAGCAUUGAAUCACAGGCAGUUUGUUGCACUUUUAGAGGAGCACGAGACAGAACAUGUUGAUAUCAGCUAUCACACAGCUGUGAGAUGGCUCAGUCUGGGUAAAGUGCUAAAAGAGUCUGGGAUCUGAAAGCAGAAAUCCGAGAGUUUUGUGAAAAGAAAGGCAGAGACAUCCCAGAGCUCUCAGAUGAGAAGUGGAUGGCAGAUUUUGCAUUUGCUGUUGAUGUGACCGCACUGAUGACUGCACUGAACACCAAACUGCAAGGCAAGGGCCUUUUCAUCCAUGAAAUGCACAACCUAGUGAAGGCUUUCAUGACGAAGUUACAGUUUCUUUCGAGGCAACUGGAGAGCAACAAUCUUACUCACAUGCAAACCCUGAAAGAAGUCACACCAUCAGAUGAUAACCUCCGCAGGUACUCAUCCAUGUUAGGAGCACUGCAUGAUGAGUUUUCAAGGCGAUUUAAAGAUUUCAGAACAAUGGAGAGUGAAAUGCACUUGAUUUCCUCUCCAUUUACCUGCAAUGUGGAUGAUGUGCCUAGUGAUGUCCAGCUGGAACUCAUUGACCUGCAGUCUGAUGCAGUACUCACAGAGCACUUUAAGUCACAACCACUGCUGCAAUUCUACUCUUCUCUUAAGCAAGAGAAGUUUCCAAACAUGAGGAGACAUGCUCAGAAGAUGUUUGUUCUCUUUGGAUCUACCUACAAUGUGAACAAACAUUCUCAGUGAUGAAGUUUAAUAAGUCCAGAUACAGAUCCUUUCUCACUGAUGAUCAUCUGUCAGCUGUGCUUCGCAUCUCAACCUCAAACAUUCACCCUGACUUUGAUGCACUUGUUAAAGACCAACAGAGACUAGAUUUCUCUCACUGAACAAGAAAAAACUGAAAAACGCAGAAUGAGUGACAAGUGAAAAUGUUUUAACUACAAAUGUAGGCAUCAUUAUUUUUCUAAUAUGAUGUAUCUUACUGAAUUUGGCUGAAAAUGGUCACUAAUGUAAUGAAUCAAAAACUGUUCAAAUGUUCACAUUUUGUUAACCAUUAUUUUAGGAAAUUUUAUUGAGUAAAUGUCAUUUUUCCUAAGACAA
Anguilla rostrata (American eel) is the source of this 2098-nucleotide long non-coding RNA. RefSeq lists it as uncharacterized. Lineage: Eukaryota; Metazoa; Chordata; Actinopteri; Anguilliformes; Anguillidae. The record is from RefSeq and is a predicted model, not a curated record. The transcript is spliced from 2 exons.